UACGGAGGGUGCGAGCGUUAUCCGGAAUUACUGGGUUUAAAGGGUGCGUAGGCUGCGAUACAAGUCAGACGUUAAAUGCGCUAGCUUAACUAGCGACUUCUUUUGAAACUGUAUUGCUUGAAUUAGGUUGAGGACAGCGGAAUGUGGCAUGUAGCGGUGAAAUGCAUAGAUAUGCCAUAGAACACCGAUUGCGAAGGCAGCUGUCUGGGCCUCAAUUGACGCUGAUGCACGAAAGCGUGGGUAGCGAACAGG
RNAcentral lists this ribosomal RNA (252 nucleotides) under uncultured bacterium. RNAcentral describes it as "partial 16S ribosomal RNA". It matches the Rfam family "Bacterial small subunit ribosomal RNA", at positions 524 to 776 of the family's 1533-position model. The record is from RNAcentral.